GGAGCGAGUGAGGACUCGGCUCCGGUAGUGGCGGUGAGCGGGCGCUCGCGAGCAGGGUUGACCGGCCGGCCGCCUAGAGAGGGGAUCGGCGGCGGCGGCGGCGGCUUUCUCGGGCAUCGGUUCGUUCGAUCGGUCCGGUCGCUUCGGUUUGUCCGUCGCUCCUCAUCCCGCAGCUCUGUCCUGGGCUAAGGCGGUUUUGCAGGCGAGCAGCGAAAAAAAGCCGGAGAAGGCGAGAGAGAGGCAAGAAGCAAGCCGGCUCCCGCGCCGCCAGGGCGAAGGCGAGAGAGAGAGGGAGACGAGAAGGGCACGGGCCGGUCUGCCGGCACCCGAACGUAGGAUGGCCGGGGGCGUCCCCGGCGGGUCCCGCCGCGAUGGAAGAGGGGGACCCGGAGGUCGUAGGUCGUGGCGGCGUCGCCUCGUCCUCCUUUCGCACCGCAUUCUCACCCGCACGCGGGAGCCCCGGCCGAUUCGUGGCGCUCCUCGGGCGCGUCGGGGAGGCUUCCCGGCGGGCCGGCUCUAUCCCGCUCCCCGGCUCGUUCGGGGUGGCGUGGGGCGGGCCGGUGUUCAGGCACGGGCGAGCACCUCUCGUCGGACGUUGCCCACGCACACCCACCUGCACGUGCGCGUGCGGUCUUUCCGCCGCGCCUGGGGGAAGGGCUCGCGCCUUCUCCCUCCUUUCUUUCUCCUCCCCCCCACCCCCUUUCUCCCACCGAUCGAUGAGGCCACUCGGGUCGCGUCGGAGAGGGCCCCCGGCGGGCCGGCGCUCUGCGCUCCCUGUCCCAGGGAAGCCGCGGCGGCGUCCGGUGUUCAGGCACGGGCGGCCUCCUCUCCAGUUCGCUUCCCGUCGUUCGCGAGGUGAGGCGCUCGCCCGCUUGGGCCGAGGGCGGCGGCGGCGGCGGCUUCGGGGCGCGUGGCCUCGCCGUGCCGACUCGUCUGUCCGCCCGCCCUGUCGGUGCCCCAGGGCUCGCCCGACCGAAUCCAGCUGUGUGACGGCCGAGCGGCCCCGCGAGCCGCAGGCGUACCUAUUUCGUUGUGAGCGAGGCGUCGGCGCUGCCCUCGUUUCGGGGCCCGGCGAGUGCCGGCCGCGAGCAGCAAGCCGGCGGGGUGGCAACCGAGGGAAACCGCGGGGAACCGAGGCGAAGCGAGCAGCAGCAGAAGAAGAAGGAACGAGAAGACAACGGGGGGCUGCGCCCGGCCGAGCGGGCGAGCCCGGAGCAGCGCGGCGCGUCCCGCUCCGGAUCCGUCGGGGUGUGGGGGCCGGGGGCGUCCGCCGGCCUCUCCUCCGCCUUCGGGCCGCCGCAGCCCGUGUCGGUUUUCCUGCCGCGUCCCCGCCCGCUGCGGAGCGUGCCGCCCCGGGAAAGGGUCUCCGAUCGUGGGGUCGCGCCCGUCUCGAGGUCGCGUUCUCCUCUAGCACGUCCGUCUCCGGCGGCGGGGCUUCGUUUCCCCGUCCGCUUCUCCGCCGGUCCCGGAGGGCGGGUCAGCCCCGGCCGGCCGUGCGGCGCGAGCGCGAGUCCGGCUCCCGCGGGGGGGGCCCGGAGCGUGCCGCCGAAAGCAGCUGCGCAGCGGUCCCCGCUCCUUCCCCGCGGGGGGGAGGUCGGCGGGGCCGCCCGCCCCGCCGAGAGGCGUUCGCCCCGGCGGCCGCCGCCGUCGACCCGGCAAGGGCCAGACGGGAAAGCCGAGCGAGCAGGCGAGAGAGAGAGAGAGGGAAGGAGCGAGAGCGGUCGGCGGCGGGCCGGGCCCGUCGGGUCGUGCCCCGUGGCGCGGCUACCUGGUUGAUCCUGCCAGUAGCAUAUGCUUGUCUCAAAGAUUAAGCCAUGCAUGUCUAAGUACACACGGGCGGUACAGUGAAACUGCGAAUGGCUCAUUAAAUCAGUUAUGGUUCCUUUGGUCGCUCCCCUCCCGUUACUUGGAUAACUGUGGUAAUUCUAGAGCUAAUACAUGCCGA
Molecule: long non-coding RNA, 1945 nt
Filed under: Gallus gallus (chicken)
Lineage: Eukaryota; Metazoa; Chordata; Aves; Galliformes; Phasianidae
Rfam family: Eukaryotic small subunit ribosomal RNA (bases 1766-1945)
Source: RNAcentral